UCUCUUUCUCACUUUCAAUCUCUGGCUUUCUAAAAAAGAGAUCUAUAUGACCCUUCUUCUUCCUCCCAGCAACACUGCUAGAUGUUUGUAUUAUUUCUUUAAGACCUUCACUGAGUGCGCGCUCUUCAUCACUAUCAUCCAAUAUAUCUCCACCAUCCAAUAUAUCCCUACCAUCUUGCACCACUCUUUGAUAUGUUGCAACAUCCAUAUGUUGUUUUUCAUUCAAAAUUGUCCAAAACUCUUCUCGAACUUCCUUGGGAC
This 261-nucleotide long non-coding RNA is filed under the name Lupinus angustifolius (narrow-leaved blue lupine). Its description in RNAcentral is "long non-coding RNA (LANG_LNC003052)". Lineage: Eukaryota; Viridiplantae; Streptophyta; Magnoliopsida; Fabales; Fabaceae. The record is from RNAcentral.